Long non-coding RNA from Numida meleagris (helmeted guineafowl), 3341 nucleotides. RefSeq lists it as uncharacterized. The transcript is spliced from 2 exons. NCBI's taxonomy places the organism in Eukaryota, Metazoa, Chordata, Aves, Galliformes, Numididae. The record is from RefSeq and is a predicted model, not a curated record.
UAAGGCUGGGCUGGUUCAGCAGGAUCAGUGCCUGGCCGACCUGGUAACUCAAAACAACUGGUGCGAACUUGGAAAUUUCAAUUUCCAAGUAGGGAGAAACUCCAGCACAGUGCCAUUCUUAGCAAAUGAUAAUGCUGCUUUUUUUUUUUUUUUCAUUAAAUGUGACAAACUUUUUUAAAUGUCAAGAGCUGUGAUUAGCUACUCUGCCAGGAUGGCAUCUUCUCAGACUGCUCAUCAGUGUUGCACACCGCCUGCUUUCUCUACAUCAAGCUUAUGUUAUGUGUGGGAAGAGGCUCAGUGUUUUUGCAGUGGAGGCAUUGUGCUGUUAAUGCUUUUGUCUCAAAUUACUAGCCAAGGGCAGCUUCUGUGGGCAGUGUAGCUCCUGAAGGAGAGGUGAACCAGGUACUCUCGACCGUGCAUUUGUUGUCUUGAGUGUGCUAUUAGGGCCCAGAGAAUCUAACAAACUCUUUCAGUCCUUCAUGCUGCAAAACUCUACAGCAUUUGAUUUAUCUGGUCUUAAGUUUUCUUCUUCUUUUGAGGGAAACAUGGCUAUUGCAUCCUUGAAAAGUCGCUACAUUUAGUGUGAUAUGUAAUUAGGAAUUUUAACUCACGUAAUUUCCUAAGUGUUGAAGUUGUAAAGUCUAAAGUUUUCGAUGUCAGAAUUAUGGCUAGAUUUGAAUUAAUAUGAAGCAGUGCAUAAAAUAAAAUGCAUCUUUUGUGUACUCUGAAUAUUUUUGAAGGCUAUGGUUCUGAAUGUGGGAGAGGAGGAAAAAAAAUAUUUAUGUUCCUAUGUGAAAAGACUGUAAUUAAUUUGGUUUUCAGUUUGAAUAACAAACAUAUUUGAAGAAGUAGGUUGAAAUGUGGCCACUCAUGCACAAAGACUGACAUCUUGGAAUACUUGACUUUGUGUUACAGCUUUUAUUUUGAAUGAUCUCAGUGAUUUCCUAAUUGGAAAUUUGAAUGUCCAGCAUUCCUGAAAAAGCAUCCUCUCAAUGCUUUCCCCCCCUGAAGAUGAGGAUCAAAUAGCCGUGGACUUCUUGGGUUGAGUUAAUGGAUUCCUCUCCUUUUUUAAAUUAUUGAUUAUAUGCUGCAGAAGGGUUUGUGUGGCAAUAAAGAUCAUAGUUUGAUACUGGAUUUACCUGUUGAGAUAUAAAGAGUGUUUUGACCAUGAGAUUCAUCUGUCAUCUGCACUCCAUUUAUGACUGCCUUGCGGACCUGUGGUGUCUUUCAUGACAGGCUUCUAAAAUACCUCCAGAGGUGUCUUCUGAGAGAAGAAAAGAUGCAAAUAUUGUGUCCAAACUGCAUUGAAUGGUAUUUGUGAUAUUGUGCAAUGGUAAUAUGCUGCUUCUAAUCUUCCCUCCAGCAGGUUGCUUUUUCCAGAUCCAUUUUAGUUGGAUCAUUGGAAGAGGCAGCUGAUGUCUCUGCUCUCACUGUCUAAUACUCUAGUGAGCAACAGUAGCUACUAGAAGGAAUUACAGUGAACGAUUUUUGCUCCAUCUCUGGGGCUCCGUGUAGCUGAUGGAAAUGCAGAAGCAACUUGGCUAACAAAAUGAGUCCUUUUGGAUGAAGGUUUGCAUAAGCUUACAACUUAAUAGAACACCCACGUAAAAGAAUGGUCCUGACACUGAAGUGAUCACCCCUUGCAAAACCUGAAAUAGUUUCCUCAUAACAUAGAAUUGCUAGUGAUUCUUAAGAAAUUUCCCACUUUCUAAUGUGGGCAAAACAAGUCCUUCUCCUCAUUGUUUGGUUAUGUUUUAAAAAAAAAAAGUUUUUCUGAAACAUCAUUGAUGGAUAACUGAUUUUUUUAUUAGUGCACAGUAAAUCUAUAACUGAAAACAGUAUCAUAAUGCAUUCAUAUAUUCAAGUACUUGUAAUACUCUUGACCGCUUUUAAUGUUUAAGAUAUAAAUGGAUAAGACGGCCAUAGCUAGUCUUUAAUUCAUAUGUCUUCCUUAUUUCUUGAGCUGGCUUUUUGUGGAAAUGUAAUAAGCAGAAUGACCUUGGUGUUUCAUCUAGGCAGCUCCAGCAGACUGCAGAAUAGGUUUCUGGUCUUCCUAGACGCUGAAAAAGAUGUAUGCUUGUUUGUUUUGACUUUCCAAGAACAGCUUUCUUUUUGGAGGCCAUCUGCUUCCAGAUAAUGUUCAUACGGCCAUGUGGUAAAGUAUUUGGAGCAGGCAGAUCUCAUGUAGUUAGUGUAAUAAAAUACUUGCUUGACGAAGUAUAUUAUUGGAGGUAUUAUGGGAGAGAGUAAGAAUUGCUACAGAUGCAGCGUGAACCUAAGCUGCCUAUAGGAUUCCCUUUUCCCACAUAGUUUUCUAAGAAUAAAAUCAGUCCCGAGGACCAGGGGUUUUAUAUGUAAUUCCAUGGAGUAAAAUCUUGUACAUUCUAAAGAGCAGUGGUUUUGCUGUUGUAUUAAUUACCGAAGUCCACAAAACCUUCCACUUAUAGGAGUUAACAGGAAAUUGUGACAUUUCAAAACCGAAGUAAAAUUGUACUUUCAAACUUGCUGGUUUUGUGGCAGAAGGAUUCAGAGAAGACUGAAAGAGCUACUUUGCAGGUCUAGGAGAUGCUUAUUCAGAACAAGAAGCUUUUUGAAAGAACCGUUAUUUUGAUACAUAUUUUCUGUACUGACAACUGAGAGUGGUAUUGAUUCAAGAAGAGCGCUGAUCCUGAAGAUUGCAGACACCAUGCUUCUUAUGAAUUCUUUACCUUGUCAGAACAACUGUGUACCAUGCUUUUUCACCAAAAUAUAACGGUAUCAGAAGAACGUAAUCCAGUGUCAGAAUAUUCAUCUUUCACUUUCUUGCUUUCAUAUUCCUUGCUUCCACUGUCAUUUCUGCAGCUUAUUAAUAUUUUCUUGGAAAUACCAAUGAUGACAUAUUUGGCACCCCAAAGAGAUCUUUUCUGUAAUUGUAUUGUCAUUCCAUAAAGGUAGCAAACCCCAGGUCCAGACUUCAUGAAACAGCCUCCAAGGACCGCUUCCUUCAGAGAUGAUUUAGAAAUUAAAAAAGUGGUUGAGGAGAGACAGAGUAUUUACUUCAUUAGGUUUCCUGAAGGCACACUUCAUUUCCAGGAGAAGCUGCAUACUUUGGAUGUUUCUAAAAGUUUUUCUUUCCCUUCUACCUCAGCAGCAGUGUCAAACUGUCCGUGAAAAUACUCAAAAGGCCAGGUUUAUUUGUAGCAGCACAUUUCUGAGUGGAUUACAUAAUAUAUUUCCAACACUGUGAAAUGGAGACCAAGACUUUAACUCCAAAAACAGAACAAUUGCCAAGUGUGGGAAAGUGGUUGGCUCUUUGGCUGUUGUUCUCUGAAGCUCCUCACUGUGUAAUCACCCCAACGAGG